RNAcentral lists this ribosomal RNA (250 nucleotides) under uncultured bacterium. RNAcentral describes it as "partial 16S ribosomal RNA". It matches the Rfam family "Bacterial small subunit ribosomal RNA", at positions 524 to 773 of the family's 1533-position model. The record is from RNAcentral.
UACGUAGGUGGCAAGCGUUGUCCGGAAUUAUUGGGCGUAAAGGGUGCGUAGGCGGUCCAUUAAGUCUGAUUUGAAAGCCCAUGGCUUAACCAUGGAGGGAGAUUGGAAACUGAAGGACUUGAGAACAGGAGAGGAAGGUGGAAUUCCACGUGUAGCGGUGAAAUGCGUAGAGAUGUGGAGGAACACCAGUGGCGAAGGCGGCCUUCUGGCCUGUGACUGACGCUGAGGCACGAAAGCGUGGGUAGCAAAC